RNAcentral lists this ribosomal RNA (253 nucleotides) under uncultured bacterium. RNAcentral describes it as "partial 16S ribosomal RNA". It matches the Rfam family "Bacterial small subunit ribosomal RNA", at positions 524 to 776 of the family's 1533-position model. The record is from RNAcentral.
UACGGGGGGGGCAAGCGUUGUUCGGAAUUACUGGGCGUAAAGGGCUCGUAGGCGGGUCUUUAAGUCAGGGGUGAAAUCCUGGAGCUCAACUCCAGAACUGCCUUUGAUACUGAGGAUCUUGAGUUCGGGAGAGGUGAGUGGAACUGCGAGUGUAGAGGUGAAAUUCGUAGAUAUUCGCAAGAACACCAGUGGCGAAGGCGGCUCACUGGCCCGAUACUGACGCUGAGGCGCGAAAGCGUGGGGAGCAAACAGG